RNAcentral lists this unclassified non-coding RNA (359 nucleotides) under Hevea brasiliensis (rubber tree). The record is from RNAcentral. Lineage: Eukaryota; Viridiplantae; Streptophyta; Magnoliopsida; Malpighiales; Euphorbiaceae.
CAUUUUGAAGCAAUUAAUCAUCAUUUAAUACCCCAACUGAAACCAAGCUUCACUUCUCUUCUUUCAUACGAUUCAACAAUCUUUCCUGGACAUCUAAAGAAAUAAUAUCCUUAUCCAGAAGAUAUUUUAUCAAUUGUUCUGCUUUGUCUAUAUCUCCCUCCCGUUUCAAGUGCUCCAGACAGGAAGCCAAACUUUCACUGGUUGGCUUCCACCCGGGUUUAGAAACUACUAUUGCUUUCUUCAUCAUCAGAUUUCAAAUGCUGUUGAAAUGAUGAAGGUAUCCUUGUGCCAUAUGAAACCAUGUAGAUGCGACAGGUUUCCCUCCUUUUGAUACUACCCUGUUGAUAAAUGUUUCAGCC